UAUAAUAAGCUGCGACGAAGCGAAUUUCUCGUCUGGAACCCUCGAACUCCUAGCUUGACGGCUUGACUGCAUUACCUUCCUUCGUCACCUUCUUAACUGCUGACAGCAUCAUCCCGAAUUUUGUUUGUCUCAUGCAAAAUGAAUCUCAGUCCUCUCAUUUUCUAACCGCAUUCAUAUUAUGGAAAGCAGCCAAGCGGGUCGCGGGGGAAGGGCCGUCAGCCCUGCCCUACUUGACCUAUCCUGGUUUACGAAAGCCCAAGGUCGAUCGUGUCGCUAUAAGAGCUUCUUUCGGAGGGUUCAUUUCCAGCAUAGUGGUGAAACCAUUUGAGUUUGAGACUGUGGACACCCUUUUAGGCUAUUACUGUUUUUCUUUCUCUUGCUUCUUUAAACUCUUUCUAUCGGGGCAGUCAAGUUCCCCCCUUUCUUUGUGAUGUCAAAGCAGUGUCUUCUUUAGUUGACUUGUCUUCCCCCGGUAACCAUGGAGGUCGGAGAAGUCCUAUCUCGAGUGUGGGGCCUAGAAGCCUUAUAAACGUUUGAAUCCCUUUUCUGUUAGCAGAACUGAUAGAGUACGAUCUUGCUUUUUGCUCUUUCUCCCCUGUCUGCUGCCCUGCUUUAAGCCGAAACAGGUUUCGAAGGAAGAAGUGGGGAGAUAGUGGCUCUCGUUCCUUCACCUAUGCCCGAGUAGCCUCUCUGGUCGACUAAAGCUCACUGCUAAUGGAAGGGCGCGGCUGGCCGAUUCCCUCUAGUCUAGUGGGUUCACUCAUUAACCUUCAUUGCGAGAAGUGAAAGUAAAGGGAUUGGAGAAUCUAUAGUUUAUGGUUCCCUGUUCAUGAAUCGGGUAGCUCCGUUCCCGAAUCGAUUUUGAUACCUCCUAUGAAUCUAGAAAGCUAAGGGGAUGGAUACCACUGAUAAGAAAGGCUGGUCACAAUCAAUCUCUUCCAAUUGCGUCAAUCAGAUAGAUGCCUGAAUCGGACAUAUGAGAUGAGCCCGUCGCUCUUUGCGUGAAGACCAGAUGCGCUCUUAGCUGCCUUUAAAGAUGCCAAGUAAAAGCCCUAUUCGGGUUUUGAGUGCCCAUUCUCUACUGCAAAUAGCGUCAGUUGUUCACGAAGAGGAUUGAUUCAUGGCGCAAUCCAUCUUUGUCCGGGUUCUUUCACUCCUCAAUAAUUUGAUUGACUCUGACUACUCUUCGGGGUACGGCUAAGCCUAACUCUGGACAGCUUCUUGCGUGCUCAGAGGAAGUCUAACUGACAAGCCUUAUUGGUCUUGCACACUAGCACACUCACUUAAGCAUCCGCCUUUGUAUCUAUCUCCACUGCUGGAUUUAAAGAAAGGAAGUGAUCUUAGAUUGAAGAAGUUCAUUAUUCUGAUUUCAGAUCUUUUUCUUAGAUUACCUUAAGAAACCCCCUCCCAACUCACCUUAUCCGUCUUUCAUAUCUGCCUCGAAGGAUACUGGAUCCUCGGAGUAGGUCGGUCAUCAGAUAUUUUCGACUCUCUAGUGUUAAGCAUAUGGUGCGGGACGGGGGGUCCUCACUCUUGACAGCUGGCCGCUUUCAAGUCGAUUCAUUAGUUUGGACUCAUUAUUUGAGAUUUUUGAGGAUUCAAGAUUGUAUCACAAGGAAAGAGUUAAGAAUGACUGACUGACCAAGUCAAGUCAUCACUUUCAUCCACAUCCACAUAUAGUUAAGUGUGCGACCGAGCAAGUAGUCUUCUUUCUAUGUAGUCUAUGUAGUACGAUCAAUUCAGUCUAUCGCUGCGCUGCGCUGAUUGCGCGUCCGUUGAUUGAACACAUUUUGGGUUAAUAGAUAAUAGAGAUUGGCUUGGUCUUCAGUCUAACCUACUCUUUUGAGAAAGAAUGCUUUGCAUUCCAAGUGUGAUGCCAUACCAUAGCUGUCAGAGUAAGAGAGAGUCUAAACAACCACACUAGUACUAUAGCCUUUUUCUAACUGCCUUGACGCCUUGGCAGGCUUGGGAGUUUACUGAUGUAAGCUCAAACUUCGGAGUUUAUGUAAAUGCCCC
RNAcentral lists this long non-coding RNA (2016 nucleotides) under Capsicum annuum. RNAcentral describes it as "long non-coding RNA (CANN_LNC018090)". Lineage: Eukaryota; Viridiplantae; Streptophyta; Magnoliopsida; Solanales; Solanaceae. The record is from RNAcentral.